GCUAUAAAUAAAUCUUACACGGUAUUUUUCGAUGCAUCCGCUCUAGCGUGUGUUAUGGGCGCAGUCGAGCUGUUUUAUGCACGUGUUUGUCGCGCGUUGAGAACCGUGAAUACUGCGCGACUACAACUUCGAGGUUCUUGGCCCCUUGUCUAAGUCAGACUCGAAUUUUCUUGAAACUUGAAAGAGGGAUACCGUCUCUAUAAGAAUGUGCAGACUCGUAGUAUAUAUAUAUAUAUACGGUUCCAAUCUUUAGAGAUUUAUUGCGAUCAGUGGAACAAGUGUGCGUCUAGCGAAGGAAUAUUAGAAGCGAAAGGAAAGAGUUAACUAGAGCUGGUAUUCGCAGAAGGAAUGCGGAUAUAUCUAAAGAUAUAUAGAGCUUUAUUCGAUGGAUAUAUCGAGUAAAUUUCUUAUCUUAGAUGGAGAGGUGCUGAAUUAUAAAUUUUAUAGAAAUUUUGUUUACGAUGCCACUGGAUGCUGGAUUUUUAUGCAAAUUUAAUUUUGAAUGUAAAUGUAAAUCUACUAUCGAUUUUAGAUUAAGCCAUUCACCAAAAUUUAUCGAUUCAAAUCAAUUCCGGACAUUCAUCUCUUUCAUCCGCAGUCAGCAAUGACAUCCGGUCGUCCAACUAGGGGGAUGAUAAUCGAACACAGUGGAAGUGUGGCAAACAGAGAAAGGGGGAAGACUCGUCCAAACAGGGAAGAUUGAAAUUUCGUAUCGAUUAGCUUUUCAUUCCGGGGUGAAUUUUCGUCUUGGAUGGGGUCGUCGAGCUCCGACGACGCUCGAUCUUCGUUUCUAUUCAGGAGCCAGUCGUACGAGUUCUUGAAAUAUUUGCAAUUCUGUGUCAAGCUAAGAUCGGUCAGAAUAUUUGCUGCAUACCUUCUUCGUUAGUUUUAUCCGCAUAUUUAGAAUUUCAUUUCAA
Long non-coding RNA from Apis cerana (Asiatic honeybee), 917 nucleotides. RefSeq lists it as uncharacterized. Lineage: Eukaryota; Metazoa; Arthropoda; Insecta; Hymenoptera; Apidae. The record is from RefSeq and is a predicted model, not a curated record.